Gossypium raimondii (Peruvian cotton) is the source of this 513-nucleotide long non-coding RNA. RefSeq lists it as uncharacterized. The record is from RefSeq and is a predicted model, not a curated record. The transcript is spliced from 2 exons. Lineage: Eukaryota; Viridiplantae; Streptophyta; Magnoliopsida; Malvales; Malvaceae.
CUAAUGACCGAAAUCUUUCAUUUUCCUUCUGAAUGUUUGGAUGUGAGCACUAAUUUAUGAUUUAUCCACUUAUCUUGUUUUGUAUUUGCUAAUGAUGGAUUUGGAAUCCCCUUCCACUAUUACUUCUGUUAAACCCAACUCAAUUCCCGUGAGCACGACUUCGAGAUAGGCGAGGUCUUCUACAUCAAAGGCCGUGUCAACCGCAGUGUGCAGACGAGAUUUAGAGACCAGAACUUCUCCUUUCAUGUUUCGUGCCGCUAUUCCCGAAGCUGACUUAAAACCUUGGUAGUUGAACAAGGCAUCAAAACUGAUUUUAAUGUUCCGUCAUUUAGGUGUUUUCUAGUUCUCCUUCUCACCAUCAAAGGUUCCUAUUUCUGUCAAACCAGAUUGACCACAAACCAAGCGUCAUUUGGAUUCCGUACUUUUUCCAAAUACCUAGGUAAGCCAUUCAAAAUAGUCUGGAUGUUGUAUUGUAAUUACCCAUUCAAAAUUUAAAAUUUGCCAUAUUUCUAC